AGCGAACGCUGGCGGCAGGCUUAACACAUGCAAGUCGAACGCAUCCUUCGGGCUGAGUGGCAGACGGGUGGGUAACACGUGGGAACGUACCCUUCGAUCUGGGAUAACUUCGGGAAACUGGAGCUAAUACCGGAUACGCUCUUUCGGGGUAAGGUUUACUGUCGCAGGAUCGGCCCGCGUCUGAUUAGCUAGUUGGUGGGGUAACGGCCUACCAAGGCGUCGUUCAGUAGCUGGUCGGUGAGGAUGCUCUGCCACACUGGGGCUGAGACACGGCCCCGACUCCUACGCGAGGCAGCAGUGGGGAAUAUUAGGCGAUGAGCGCAGGCCUAAUCCAGCCGUGCCGGGUGAGUGGUGAAGGCGUUAGGAUUGUAAAGCUCUUUUGUCCGGGACGAUAAUGACGGUACCGGAAGAAUAAGCCCCGGCUAACUUCGUG
This 433-nucleotide ribosomal RNA is filed under the name uncultured bacterium. Its description in RNAcentral is "partial 16S ribosomal RNA". It matches the Rfam family "Bacterial small subunit ribosomal RNA", at positions 29 to 507 of the family's 1533-position model. The record is from RNAcentral.